GAGCGGCGAACGGGUGAGUAAUGCUUCGGAAUCUGCCCAAUGGUGGGGAAUAACCAGCCGAAAGGUUGGCUAAUACCGCAUAAGUCACGGGGGAAAGCAGGGGAUCGCAAGACCUUGCGCCGAUGGAUGAGCCGAAGUCGGAUUAGCUAGUUGGUAGGGUAACGGCCUACCAAGGCGACGAUCCGUAGCUGGUCUGAGAGGACGACCAGCCACACUGGGACCGAGACACGGCCCAGACUCCUACGGGAGGCAGCAGUGGGGAAUAUUGGACAAUGGGGGAAACCCUGAUCCAGCGACGCCGCGUGUGUGAAGAAGGCCUGCGGGUUGUAAAGCACUUUUAGUGGGGAUGAAAAGCUCAGGGCUAAUACCUCUGGGUCUUGACCUAACCCACAGAAAAAGCACCGGCUAACUCUGUGCCAGCAGCCGCGGUAAUACAGAGGGUGCGAGCGUUAAUCGGAAUUACUGGGCGUAAAGCGUGCGUAGACGGUUAUGUAAGUCGGGUGUGAAAGCCCCGGGCUCAACCUGGGAAUGCCAUUCGAGACUGCAUAGCUAGGGUGCGGAAGAGGGAAGCGGAAUUUCCGGUGUAGCGGUGAAAUGCGUAGAUAUCGGAAGGAACACCAGUGGCGAAAGCGGCUUCCUGGUCCAGCAC
Molecule: ribosomal RNA, 649 nt
Filed under: uncultured bacterium
Lineage: Bacteria
Description: bacterial SSU rRNA
Rfam family: Bacterial small subunit ribosomal RNA
Source: RNAcentral